AGAGUUGGUGGCUAGGGUUCCGGCGCUUUCAAAAAGCGCGCUGGUCCGAGAGCUACCACCGGUUGGGGAGACAUCCCGCCGGGUGCACGGCGGGAGAAAAGCCCGGGAGAC
This 111-nucleotide small RNA is filed under the name Rhizobium gallicum. Its description in RNAcentral is "Guanidine-I sequence". It matches the Rfam family "Guanidine-I riboswitch aptamer". From Rfam's summary of the family: This family represents a conserved RNA structure found upstream of the ykkC and yxkD genes in Bacillus subtilis and related genes in other bacteria. The function of this family is unclear although it has been suggested that it may function to switch on efflux pumps and detoxification systems in response to harmful environmental molecules. Nelson showed that this riboswitch senses and responds to guanidine and it was renamed Guanidine-I riboswitch. The record is from RNAcentral. Lineage: Bacteria; Pseudomonadati; Pseudomonadota; Alphaproteobacteria; Hyphomicrobiales; Rhizobiaceae.